GAUGAAGAACGUAGCGAAAUGCGAUAAGUAGUGUGAAUUGCAGAAUUCAGUGAAUCAUCGAAUCUUUGAACGCACAUUGCGCCCCUUGGUAUUCCAUGGGGCAUGCCUGUUCGAGCGUCAUUUGUACCUUCAAGCUCUGCUUGGUGUUGGGUGUUUGUCUCGCCUCUGCGUGUAGACUCGCCUCAAAACAAUUGGCAGCCGGCGUAUUGAUUUCGGAGCGCAGUACAUCUCGCGCUUUGCACUCAUAACGACGACGUCCAAAAGUACAUUUUUACACUCUUGACCUCGGAUCAGGUAGGGAUACCCGCUGAUCUUAAGCAUAUCAAUAAGCGGAGGA
Molecule: unclassified non-coding RNA, 337 nt
Filed under: soil metagenome
Description: partial contains 5.8S ribosomal RNA, internal transcribed spacer 2, and large subunit ribosomal RNA
Rfam family: 5.8S ribosomal RNA (bases 1-120)
Source: RNAcentral